Molecule: ribosomal RNA, 201 nt
Filed under: uncultured bacterium
Lineage: Bacteria
Description: partial 16S ribosomal RNA
Rfam family: Bacterial small subunit ribosomal RNA
Source: RNAcentral
GGACGAACGCUGGCGGCGUGCUUAACACAUGCAAGUCGAGCGGUAAGGCCCUUUCGGGGGUACACGGAGCGGCGAACGGGUGAGUAACACGUGGGUGACCUGCCCUCAGCUCUGGGAUAAGCCUGGGAAACCGGGUCUAACACCGGAUAUGACUCCAUGACGCAUGUUGUGGGGUGAAAGCCUUGUGCGGCUGAGGAUGGG